GACGAACGCUGGCGGCGUGCUUAACACAUGCAGGUCGAACGGAAAGGCCCUGCUUUUGUGGGGUGCUCGAGUGGCGAACGGGUGAGUAACACGUGAGUAACCUGCCCUUGACUUUGGGAUAACUUCAGGAAACUGGGGCUAAUACCGGAUAGGAGCUCCUGCUGCAUGGUGGGGGUUGGAAAGUUUCGGCGGUUGGGGAUGGACUCGCGGCUUAUCAGCUUGUUGGUGGGGUAGUGGCUUACCAAGGCUUUGACGGGUAGCCGGCCUGAGAGGGUGACCGGCCACAUUGGGACUGAGAUACGGCCCAGACUCCUACGGGAGGCAGCAGUGGGAAAUAUUGCACAAUGGGCGGAAGCCUGAGGCAGCAACGCCGCGUGCGGGAUGACGGCCUACGGGUUGUAAACCGCUUUCGCCUGUGACGAAGCGUGAGUGACGGUAAUGGGUAAAGAAGCACCGGCUAACUACGUG
This 468-nucleotide ribosomal RNA is filed under the name uncultured bacterium. Its description in RNAcentral is "partial 16S ribosomal RNA". It matches the Rfam family "Bacterial small subunit ribosomal RNA", at positions 28 to 507 of the family's 1533-position model. The record is from RNAcentral.